CAGGGAGACAACAAAAUGUUUAAUAUUAUUAUUUUGUCACCUUAGGUCGAUCGGUAUCUCGCGUUCUUAAUUUAUUAAGAAUUUCAUUUCCUAAGUUUUUCUAGGUCACACCCAUUAUUUUCCUGGGCCAUUAGCUCAGGUGGUUAGAGCGCACCCCUGAUAAGGGUGAGGUCCCUGGUUCAAGUCCAGGAUGGCCCAUAUCUCUAUGUUGGGGGUAUAGCUCAGUUGGUAGAGCGCCUGCUUUGCAAGCAGGAUGUCAGCGGUUCGAGUCCGCUUACCUCCACUGAUUACCACCUCUUCCAUAAUCUGUAGAAAGGAAAAUUUUUUGAGUUGUGAUCAAAUUUCUGAACGAAUCUAGCUUCCUAAUGAAAUCAUUAAGAUGCUGGACUCAUUGAAUUAAUUUCAUUGUUUUCAGAGAACCUUGACAACUGCAUAGAUUAUUUUUAAAGACAAUAAGCAUCUUUAAUGAUGCAGAUUUAUUAUUUGUGCAAAUGCAUUAAUAACAAUUCUAUUAAGCUGAUGCUUCAAUUUUGAAGUUAUU
This 541-nucleotide transfer RNA is filed under the name uncultured Prochlorococcus sp. RNAcentral describes it as "partial 16S-23S ribosomal RNA intergenic spacer". The stretch from base 211 to 283 matches the Rfam family "tRNA". Lineage: Bacteria; Bacillati; Cyanobacteriota; Cyanophyceae; Synechococcales; Prochlorococcaceae. The record is from RNAcentral.